This 396-nucleotide ribosomal RNA is filed under the name uncultured bacterium. Its description in RNAcentral is "bacterial SSU rRNA". It matches the Rfam family "Bacterial small subunit ribosomal RNA", at positions 121 to 518 of the family's 1533-position model. The record is from RNAcentral.
GACAACCAACCCAUAACAGGGGGAUAACCCGGAGAAAUCCGGACUAAUACCGCAUAAGACCACGAUAUCGCAUGAUAUAGAGGUCAAAUAUUUAUAGGUUAUGGACGGCAUGCGUCUGAUUAGCUGGUGGCGGGUAACGCCACCAAGGCAUCGAUCAGUAGGGGUUCUGAGAGGAAGGUCCCCCACAUUGGAACUGAGACACGGUCCAAACUCCUACGGGAGGCAGCAGUGAGGAAUAUUGGUCAAUGGGCGAAAGCCUGAACCAGCCAUGUCGCGUGAAAGGAUGAAGGCCCUAUGGAUUGUAAACUUCUUUUGCAGGAGGGUAAAGUGAGCUACGUGUAGUUCAUUGCAAGUACCCUGCGAAUAAGCAUCGGCUAACUACGUGCCAGCCGCCGC